RNAcentral lists this ribosomal RNA (255 nucleotides) under uncultured bacterium. RNAcentral describes it as "partial 16S ribosomal RNA". It matches the Rfam family "Bacterial small subunit ribosomal RNA", at positions 524 to 777 of the family's 1533-position model. The record is from RNAcentral.
UACAGAGGUCUCGAGCGUUGUUCGGAUUCAUUGGGCGUAAAGGGUGCGCAGGUGGCGUGGUAAGUCUGGUGUGAAAUCCCGGGGCUCAACCCCGGAACUGCACUGGAUACUGCCAUGCUUGAGUACUGGAGAGGAGAUUGGAAUUUACGGUGUAGCAGUGAAAUGCGUAGAUAUCGUAAGGAAGACCAGUGGCGAAGGCGAAUCUCUGGACAGUUACUGACACUGAGGCACGAAGGCCAGGGGGAGCAAACGGGG